This is a small nucleolar RNA of Ornithorhynchus anatinus (platypus), 138 nucleotides long. The record is from RefSeq and is a predicted model, not a curated record. Lineage: Eukaryota; Metazoa; Chordata; Mammalia; Monotremata; Ornithorhynchidae.
CCCCUCUCAGGGUCGCACCUGGAGAGUUUCCAGUGCUCUACCACUCUCGGCAGUGGGAGGCAGAGUCAAGCAGAGGCCUACCCAUUCAAUUCCUAGCUUGGGCAGUGGCUAGCAAGUGGAAGACCAUCUGUUACAAGU